AACGAACGCUGGCGGCAUGCCUAACACAUGCAAGUCGAACGAGACCUUCGGGCCUAGUGGCGCACGGGUGCGUAACGCGGGGGAACCUGCCCUUAGGUUCGGAAUAACUCCCCGAAAGGGGUGCUAAUACCGGAUAAUGUCUUCGGACCAAAGAUUUAUCGCCUGUGGAUGGGCCCGCGUUGGAUUAGCUAGUUGGUAGGGUAAAAGCCUACCAAGGCGACGAUCCAUAGCUGGUCCGAGAGGAUGAUCAGCCACACUGGGAAUGGGACACGGCCCAGACUCCUACGGGAGGCAGCAGUGGGGAAUAUUGGACAAUGGGCGAAAGCCUGAUCCAGCAAUGCCGCGUGAGUGAUGAAGGCCUUAGGGUUGUAAAGCUGUUUUACCCGGGAUGAUAAUGACAGUACCGGGAGAAUAAGCUCCGGCUAACUCCGUG
This 433-nucleotide ribosomal RNA is filed under the name uncultured bacterium. RNAcentral describes it as "partial 16S ribosomal RNA". It matches the Rfam family "Bacterial small subunit ribosomal RNA", at positions 29 to 507 of the family's 1533-position model. The record is from RNAcentral.